Molecule: non-coding RNA, 79 nt
Organism: Acanthosepion pharaonis
Lineage: Eukaryota; Metazoa; Mollusca; Cephalopoda; Sepiida; Sepiidae
Source: the annotation of a GenBank genome assembly
ACGAUCACUGAAGUUAAGCAACGUCGAGCCUGGUCAGUACCUAGAUGGGCGACCGCUUGGGAAUACUAGGUGUAGUAAG